CACGUGCCCUCUAGGGUUCUGCACUGCCUGCGAGGAACGUUGCUUUUACUUCCAGACUCUUUCAGCUUUGUGGGCCAGCUGAACUGCAAUAUAGAACUGAAUCAUGUCCUGGAAACUGGUUCUGUCCUGUCCUUUUCCUGUUAGUAUUCAGAUUUCAACAGGAGAUGCCUUAAGUCAUCCAGAAUGGAGUAGAAGCAAGAAAACCCAGAAGAUCUCAUGCAGUCCCAAUUCCACGGCAUUUCUCAAAGCCUAUUG
RNAcentral lists this long non-coding RNA (255 nucleotides) under Apteryx owenii (little spotted kiwi). RNAcentral's name for it is "lncRNA (ENSAOWG00000016528.1)". The record is from RNAcentral. Lineage: Eukaryota; Metazoa; Chordata; Aves; Apterygiformes; Apterygidae.